RNAcentral lists this ribosomal RNA (497 nucleotides) under uncultured bacterium. RNAcentral describes it as "partial 16S ribosomal RNA". It matches the Rfam family "Bacterial small subunit ribosomal RNA", at positions 28 to 507 of the family's 1533-position model. The record is from RNAcentral.
GAUGAACGCUGGCGGCGUGCCUAAUACACGCAAGUCGAGCGAACGGACGAGAAGCUUGCUUCUCUGAUGUUAGCGGCGGACGGGUGAGUAACACGUGGAUAACCUACCUAUAAGACUGGGAUAACUUCGGGAAACCGGAGCUAAUACCGGAUGAUAUUUUGAACCGCAUGGUUCAAAAGUGAAAGACGGUCUUGCUGUCACUUAUAGAUGGAUCCGCGCUGCAUUAGCUAGUUGGUAAGGUAACGGCUUACCAAGGCAACGAUGCAUAGCCGACCUGAGAGGGUGAUCGGCCACACUGGAACUGAGACACGGUCCAGACUCCUACGGGAGGCAGCAGUAGGGAAUCUUCCGCAAUGGGCGAAAGCCUGACGGAGCAACGCCGCGUGAGUGAUGAAGGUCUUCGGAUCGUAAAACUCUGUUAUUAGGGAAGGACAUAUGUGUAAGUAACUGUGCACAUCUUGACGGUACCUAAUCAGAAAGCCACGGCUAACUACGUG